AUUGAACGUUGGCGGCACGCCUUAUACAUGCAAGUCGAACGAGAAAGUACCUUCGGGUGCGAGUACAGUGGCGGACGGGUGAGUAACGCGUAGGAAUAUACCUAGUAGUGGGGGACAACUCGGGGAAACUCGAGCUAAUACCGCAUACGCUCUACGGAGGAAAGUGGGGGAUCUUCGGACCUCACGCUAUUAGAGUAGCCUGCGUUGGAUUAGCUAGUUGGUGAGGUAAAGGCUCACCAAGGCGACGAUCCAUAGCUGGUCUGAGAGGACGAUCAGCCACACUGGAACUGAGACACGGUCCAGACUCCUACGGGAGGCAGCAGUAGGAAUAUUGGGCAAUGGGCGCAAGCCUGACCCAGCGAUGCCGCGUGUGUGAAGAAGGCCUUAGGGUUGUAAAGCACUUUCAGCAGCGAAGAAAUGUCGUAAGUUAAUAGCUUUCGGCUUUGACGUUUAACUGCAGAAGAAGUACCGGCUAACUCCGUGCCAGCAGCCGCGGUAA
Molecule: ribosomal RNA, 499 nt
Filed under: uncultured bacterium
Lineage: Bacteria
Description: bacterial SSU rRNA
Rfam family: Bacterial small subunit ribosomal RNA
Source: RNAcentral